GUAAUACACCGGAACGUACCCAGUAGCGGGGGAUAGCCCGGCGAAAGCCGGAUUAAUACCGCAUACGCCCUACGGGGGAAAGGGGGGGAUCGUAAGACCUCUCACUAUUGGAGCGGCCGAUGGCUGAUUAGCUAGUUGGUGGGGUAAAGGCCUACCAAGGCAACGAUCAGUAGCUGGUCUGAGAGGACGACCAGCCACACUGGGACUGAGACACGGCCCAGACUCCUACGGGAGGCAGCAGUGGGGAAUUUUGGACAAUGGGCGAAAGCCUGAUCCAGCAAUGCCGCGUGUGCGAAGAAGGCCUUCGGGUUGUAAAGCACUUUUGUCAGGGAAGAAAUCGUUCGGGCUAAUACCUCGGGCAGUUGACGGUACCUGAAGAAUAAGCACCGGCUAACUACGUGCCAGCAGCCGCGGUAAUACGUAGGGUGCAAGCGUUAAUCGGAAUUACUGGGCGUAAAGCGUGCGCAGGUGGUUCGUUAAGACAGUUGUGAAAUCCCCGGGCUUAACCUGGGAACUGCAAUUGUGACUGGCGGACUAGAGUUUGGCAGAGGGGGGUGGAAUUCCUGGUGUAGCAGUGAAAUGCGUAGAUAUCAGGAGGAACACCGAUGGCGAAGGCAGCCCCCUGGGCCAUGACUGACACUCAUGCA
This 647-nucleotide ribosomal RNA is filed under the name uncultured bacterium. Its description in RNAcentral is "bacterial SSU rRNA". It matches the Rfam family "Bacterial small subunit ribosomal RNA", at positions 110 to 753 of the family's 1533-position model. The record is from RNAcentral.